GGCACUUUCGGUGGCACCUUCGGUGGCCGAAAGUCCCUCUCCAGAGACGAAAGUCAGGCACUUUCGGCGGCCGAACCUUCCUUCGGUGGCCGAAAGUCUGCUUUCAAGCCAAAACUCAACUUUCGGGGGCAAGGUUAGGCGGCCAAUCUAUGCAUCCAUAGGCAGGUUCGGCGGCCGAAACUACCUUCGGCGGCCGAACCUACCUUCGGCGGCCAAACCUGAGUUCAUCCAGAACUCAGCCUCUUAUGCAUUCAAGCCUCCCAAACCUUCUAAACACCCCAAACCAAGCACCCAACCUCCUAAAACAUGCAUAACCCUUAACCAUGCACACAGGAGCUUAAACAAGCUUAAACUCCAACAAAGAACAUCAAAAAGCAUACUUAAAUAGCUUAUGACCCACAUAAGCCAAAAUCAACAAAACCACUCAAAACUUCACUUGCUCUUUCCCAAUCAUGCAUACACUCUCCCACAUGCAUAAACUAGCUUAAACCUUCAACAUAACAUCACAUAAACAGACAUCAACAGGCAUAAGCAUACAUUAAUAUACAUUGGGCAUAAAACCCACAUAAACCUAAAUAUGCAUAUCUACCCAUACUCAACCAUUAAAAAUCCAAUAAACUUACUUAAAACUUCAUUAAACACAAAGGAAGCAAAGAUCUACACUUACCUCUUGAAGAUCGAGGGUUGGUGCGAUCCCUAACUCGGAGGUGUGGAGGAUCCAAGCUCCAACAAUCUCCAAGCUCCCAAAACUCCUACUUAAGCUUCAAAUCUUUAAACACAAGGGUAGAACUCAUGAAAACUUGAGGGAUGGGUAGAGAAAACAUGAAAAUGACCAAAGGAAGGCAAAGACCCACCUGAGCUCGAGAAUGGGGAGAAAACUCGCCCAUUUCCGAUCUGAGGGCUCUUUAUAGGUGGCCUGGUCAAAGACCUUCGGCAGCCUAACGUGCCCCCUAAACUCAUGCAUGUUCGGCGGCCGAACCUUGGUUCGUUCAAACAAAGCUUUCGGAGGCCAAAAGCGCUCCCAAAACCUUUCCAUGUUCGGCGGCCGAACUUCACUUUCGGCGGCCGAACCUGGCAAACGCCUCCUUGGUCUUUUCUUUUCAAAACUCAAUUCCUUUCCAUUUAAAACCAUAAAAUCAGUAAAAACAUUUUAGAAAACACAUUUUACCCCUCUAGAAGCCUCUGGCAUCUUCAGAAUUCCAGAUUCCAACGGAGAUUCUGCCGGAAGGUAGGGAUUCCGAUGCCGGAAGGUAGGGAUUCCGAUGCCGGAAUCUAGCUGGGUAUUACAUUCUUCCCCCCUUUAAGAACAUUCAUCCCCGAAUGUUCAACAAACAAACAGGCAAUCUCAAAACAUAGCAUCAAUCAUACAUAAACAAGCAAGCAAACAAGCAAGCAAAGCCUAAAAACCUCUCUCCUAAAAGAGAGACACACGGGUACUGCUGGAGUAAGAACUCUCGGGUCUUCCAGGCACACCUUUUACCAAAAGAAACACCUUAGCAAUACCCAACCUUCUCCUAAACUCCACUGGCUUCCGCUGCGCUUCUCUGAUCCUUACUCUUUUCUCUUCAUCUUCACUAACUGGCUUCUUCUCACUGCUAACCCAAAACUAACUCUUCCUCUCACAGGUAGUACCCGGAUUUCAGAUCUAUCUUGGAAAACAAAUAGCUCCUACUAGCUGUCCCAAUAGAUCAUCCAUCCUGCAUGGAAAUACCUGCCCUUGGUAGUGACCUUGGUCAACUGCUUACAGUUGUUACAAAGUCUCAAGGAUUCAUCCUUCUUUUCCCACCACCACACUGGAACAAUCCAGGGUGAGGUACUAGGUCGGAUAAAACCCCUGUCUACUAAGUCUCGCCUCUACUCUGACUACUACCUUUCUCUAUGCUGGCGCCAUCCUGUAGGGGAGAAUAGAAAUGGUUCUAGGUCCAGACACCACUCCUAUGCUCAACUCUAACUCCCUGAUAGGUGGUAAACCUGACAACUAGCCUAGGAAAACAACUAAGAACUCUCUCUAACAACUAACACUGAGGCUAGUUCCCCGACCUGACUGCUAAACUCUCAACAAGAACUCGAACCCUCUGACAACCCCUCCUACGCACCCUACGAACCUGACAGGCUGACAUCAAACCUCUAGGCAUCCCUACUGUGUUCCCUCAACAGACUACCUCUGACCCAUCCUGUCCUCUGAACUUGACUACCUUGUCUCUACAGACCAAGAUAGCACCACGAGCAGAAACCAAUCCAUCCCUCGGUUGACGUCCAGACAGUCAAGUCUAGGACCUCAAAGUCGGGUGGAAGGCAUCUACCCUCAACUGACACUGAACUGGACCGGCAGACUGACUCUGCCACAGAUGGAUCACACUUGGGUCCACUAACCCAAAGAGAACACUCUAGCCUAGAAGCUAUUAACUCAACCGCUCGACGGCUCCUAGAGCAACUAAAGAAAGAGAAACUCCAGGGUUCACAAAACAUACACAUCAGAACAUUCAAAAGUGAGCGUACCUGGCACCACCAUGUUCGAUGUGUCUGCCUCCUGCUGAGCUUGGGUGAAGAUCCGAGCUGAAGCUAACGGACCUUCUCCACGGGAACCUUCAAAAGAAAAGGCUGACCCUCUUCCUCUGCCUCGACCACUAACCUGAACCAUGGCUGGAGCUACUGGCUGAGCCGCUCUACCUGAAGUUGCCCGCUGAGACUGUGCCAACCAGGGCGCAAUGGGACACUCACGUACCAUAUGCCCUUCCUGACCGCAUCUAAAACAUAGAUUAGUCCCAAUCAGACAGACUCCCUUGUGCGGCCUUCCGCACCUCAUGCAUCUUGAACUGCCUGAGCCAGAGCUUGAGCCACCAAAACCCAGACUAGCCUUCAAAUUCUUCCAAAACUUCUUCUUCUUCCCCCUCAGGGUUCUGCCCCACUUCUUGCUUUUCGUGGAGGCUGUACUCAGAGUGGAGGGAUCAAUCCCUCCUGAACCCGAGAUUCUGGAAUCCUGAGUCCGAGCAUCCUCCUGAGAAUCUCCCAUACCUUCUUCUGGCACUCUGAUUCCCAAACUGACAUCCCUUCUCUGAACAUCCAACUCCACUUCCCUCAUACUAGCUGACAUCCUUCUUGGAGCCAUUCCUUCUCUGCUUACAUCAAAAGACCUUCCAGGGUCCCUUGAUGUUCCCCAUCUGCUGACUCCCUAUGACUGCGCUCUUGGCAGAACAGGGGGAAAGGCGUCCAUACCUUCCCUUUCAGAUGGAACUCCAGUCGAUUCCACAGAUCGACGAGCACCUCGCAUUCUGGCUCCUCUGAAGAACAACACACAAGCAUACAAUCAAUCAUUAGCAUCAUACGGUUCAUAUGAAAACACAUAAACCUGCAACAUACAUAGCAUACAUAGUAUAACAUACAUAACAUUAAUGCACAUGCAUAACAUCAUAGCAUUUCACAUCAUCAUACAAGACAGGACUCCACAUCCUAUCCUAGUGGACAUGAUUCUUCCUAUUGUGCUUGCCCUUCUAUGACCUCUAAACCAACCUCGUUCCGAUGUGGGAUACCUCUAAUCCUUGAGCAUCUUUGCUCAACACACCGUACUGAUGAGGCCCAAAGCUCUGAUACCACUCUGUAAUGACCCGAAAAUCGAUACCCUUCUGUAACGGCCCGAACCGCUACCGGCGCUAGGAUCCAGAUCGGCUUAAGGCCGCCGGGACCCGUAGCAAGCCAAACAUACCUCCUAUCACCUGGUCAAAUCCCAUACAUGAUCAAAACUUUAACAUAAAAACUUAAACAUAUGAUGUAUAUACCGAGCCUGACCUGUAUGCGACAUAACUGAAAACAUAAAGAAACCCCCUACUAGAGCCCUCAUCAAAACUCAAGCUGGGUCAACAUAACAUACAUCAAGCCGGAGACACAUCCAAUGAACUAGAACCUAACCUGUGCAUGCAUCAAACCACAAACAUAAGACCUCCACUAGGGUCCUCAUCAAACUCUAGCGUGGUAAACAACACAUGCCACAAGAUUAGUUCAAACACAACUCAACAUUAAACCAAUACAUACAUCAUGUACUAAAAAGGGACUAACCAAGUCUUAAGGCCAAGCACAGUACUAAUACAUAAACACAACUCUACUAUACUUGCAUUACAUUACAUUAUCUUACAAUCCAUUAUAUCAAUUUAUAAUACAUGUCCACACUAAAAGUACUAAUCUAUUACUAUAGCAAGACUUUUACCCUUGACAUCUUCCUGGACUACCUCUGACCUGCAAAACUGGGGUUAGGGGAGAGGGGUGAGCUAAAAAGCCCAGUGAGUAGAAACAGGGAAAACAUUUCAUUAAUUACAUGCUCUUAUGAAAUGCGUCACAGCACAAACAAUUCAUAUAACGGAUUGGACAUGACCACCAAAACUCCCUCUGACUGUAACAUAACAUGGUGCCCGGCCCUUCGGGCUCCUCAGGACUUCAUUAUGCCCGGCCCUUCGGGCUCCUCAAGACUUCAUUAACAUAACAUAUCUAGGGCUAUUGGGGUCGCCUUGGUCCAACCACAUCAACAGUAAAUAAUGCAAUGCGUCAUAUUCGUGUAACUAGUGCAAUCAACCUAUUACAUAUAAACAUGAUGCAUGAACAUGCUUUAGGCAUUUGAAUUUCGUAAAAUAAAAGAUUUAGUUUCGUUCUACUCACCUCUGGCAGACGCUGAACUGACUCUGCAACUGCUAACACUGAUGGCCUCCUCGGUCCCUCGGGUCCGAUCCUACACAGGUGGACUCGAAUGAGGAGCCAAACAUACUCUAACAACUCAUAAACAACUACCCAAAAACCCCCUAAAACAUCACUAAAACAUCACUUAAACAUGCAUAGAAAACAACCAUGAAAAGGCUGGACAGGGCACUUUCGGCGGCACCUUCGGCGGCCGAAAGUCCCUCUCCAGAGACGAAAGUCAGGCACUUUCGGCUGCCGAACCUUCCUUCGGCGGCCGAAAGUCUGCUUUCAAGCUAAAACUCAACUUUCGGGGGCAAGGUUAGGCGGCCAAUCUAUGCAUCCAUAGGCAGGUUCGGCGGCCGAACCUGAGUUCAUCCAGAACUCAGCCUCUUAUGAAU
This 5063-nucleotide long non-coding RNA is filed under the name Manihot esculenta (cassava). Its description in RNAcentral is "long non-coding RNA (MESC_LNC000160)". Lineage: Eukaryota; Viridiplantae; Streptophyta; Magnoliopsida; Malpighiales; Euphorbiaceae. The record is from RNAcentral.